AACGAACGCUGGCGGCAGGCUUAACACAUGCAAGUCGAGCGCGCCCUUCGGGGUGAGCGGCGGACGGGUGAGUAACGCGUGGGAACGUGCCCUUUCCUCCGGAAUAGCCCUGGGAAACUGGGAGUAAUGCCGGAUACGCCCUUUGGCAGCGAUGUCAUUGGGGAAAGAUUUAUCGGGGAAGGAUCGGCCCGCGUUGGAUUAGGUAGUUGGUGGGGUAAUGGCCUACCAAGCCGACGAUCCAUAGCUGGUUUGAGAGGAUGAUCAGCCACACUGGGACUGAGACACGGCCCAGACUCCUACGGGAGGCAGCAGUGGGGAAUCUUGGACAAUGGGGGCAACCCUGAUCCAGCCAUGCCGCGUGAUCGAUGAAGGCCUUAGGGUUGUAAAGAUCUUUCAGCUGGGAAGAUAAUGACGGUACCAGCAGAAGAAGCCCCGGCUAACUCCGUGCCAGCCGCCGCCGUAACAC
Molecule: ribosomal RNA, 466 nt
Filed under: uncultured bacterium
Lineage: Bacteria
Description: bacterial SSU rRNA
Rfam family: Bacterial small subunit ribosomal RNA
Source: RNAcentral